UUGCCCUUUCCACGAAUAGUCGAAGCCUGCGGCGGAAGAAUCACCGUCGCUGUUUUGGUUGUGCCAUGCCUCACUGCUUGUUGUCGACAACUUGACUUGAAGCUCUGCAGUGGAGCAAAAACGCACGGGCCGAAGGUGCCCCCUGUGACCAGCAAAUAGCACUUAUCAUUGGCGAAGCGCGCGAUAAGUGGCGGCAAGCGUGUUGGGCUAGCUCCCGUAGCCAGAACAAGAGUAGUACCUUUGAAUUAACUAGAUCAGGUGUAUAGGUUCAGUACCCCGCCGUCGGCAUCCCAGAGGGCAGGCUUGACGGUGUGGUAACGGCAAGUAAACUGACCCCAAAAGUUGCCGUACGGAGGAAAAAAAUUUGCUUCUUGUAAACGAGCAAGCACGGCUUGCGAAAAACAGAUGUCACACUGAUGGUUGCUGCAUAUUGAUAAGUUUUUGGGUGCAAGUAGUAGGCAGCGACUAGUGGUUUGCCUGUCACGGGCAAUUUGACGUUUACGAAGAAGCGAUUUUGACGCACUGAGACAGCGAGUAGGUUUAGGGUAGAAGUGUUGUUUUAGGUAUAAGUUUGUUUUGUGUCAAGUUAGUUGAUGGUGAACGAUUUGUGGAGAUGGAGGAAAUAGUCUACCAAUUACGGUCCGAUAGGCCGUUUGUCCGGGCAGCUGGCGAUAAAUGGUUAGCAAAAUUGUGCUUAGCAGUGUUUGUUGUCGUCCUUGUCUCAGUAAAUGGAACCAGUGCUAGCAAUUACGAGGGUUGGCAUGCGUGGGAAGUUGUUGGCACGGAUAAUGGGUGGCAAAAUGGUACCAAAGAAAGUGACUCGCACCUACACAACCUAUGAAGACGAUCACGACCCCUGGAUUUCAUUGUAUGUCAACAAACGCCUUAGGAGACCGACGAUCAUUUUAAACGGAUGGGCGAAAGACGGAAAAUUUGGCCUUAAUGUUAACAUUCAUUAAAGGUAUUUUUAUCUACUGGCGUUGUAAAUACUACUAUAAAUAUAAAAAAAAUGAUAAUAAGGUAAAUGUAGAUAGCGCCGAUAUGCGAGAAGCGUUCGAUAUUUAUUGAUACCUUUUGCCCAGUUUUAGUCAUCGGGAGGUCAAGCGUUUUACACAAUGCUCAAUCGAGUUGACGAUAAGAAGAACAAACAUUUCAAUCCGAAGCACGGUACAAGUCAUGCUCGAACUACUAAGAAGAUCCCUAUUUGCCUGUUUGUUUGAUCCCUAUUUGUUGAUCUUGAUCGUGAACCCGAAGAUUGAGCGAUAAAGCGCCCGCAGAAACUUUCGAAGAUGCUGCAUGUUUUGAAACACUCAGGUAAUUACUGAGUCUCGCUUUAGAAGCGAAGAUAAGUUAAUUUUUUUCCUCUGCUAUACCACUCUACCACCUGUUCUUCCAUGCUACAUUUAGAAAUAUGGUUAAACCGUAUGAUACUGCGAUUUCGAUAUGCCUGUUCGCAAUAAACAAUGAAGAGUGAACUUGAAUAAAAGCCUGUCAG
Molecule: non-coding RNA, 1495 nt
Organism: Varroa destructor (honeybee mite)
Lineage: Eukaryota; Metazoa; Arthropoda; Arachnida; Mesostigmata; Varroidae
Source: RefSeq, a predicted model, not a curated record